GUUCGAACAAGGAGUUUUGUCUAGGUUCACUGAUUUGAUCCAAGGGUUUGAUCAGUUGGAAGGUGGAUCCUGUGGAGUGUGGACGUGCCCUGCCCUGUCCACUUCCUCGCCCUUCCCAUCCCUCAGAGAAGCUUGUCAUUGUACUACCUGAGGCUGCCCAGCUACACUCAACGACCCCCAACACAUCAACACAGGACCUCAACGCACCAGACUUUCACACAAGGUUGCUCAGAAGUCCUCUUCAGGUGAAGCAUAAUGAAAGAAGUGAUCAUGGGUUUGUCCUCCACACUCACACUGGAAGGCUGACAUGCAUGAUGGCUAUCAUCCGAGAGUCUCCGGAGUCCGGGUGCUUGCCGAUCCCAUCAGCAGUGUUGAAGGCCAAGAAGAUAUCCAAUGACAGUGACGUUGAUAGCAGCUGCAGCAGCCAUCAAUCCAACAUCUGUAACGAAGAGAAAUGGAAGGAUACUUCGUUGACACUACAGCUAGGAAGGCACCGCCUGUUGAACUGCCAUCAUCAGAAGACACACACUCAAGACUGGGCGGAGGCAAAUCUGCCUACACAGGGCAGCUCUGUGAACAUACAGCAUCUACCUGUUGUCCGAAGUACAUGGACCAGGAGAACUGUCAGGUGGUGGUACUGCUGCACCUCUUCACUGUCAACGGACUCGUCACAAAUGUUCAUUACUUCCAGAAGAUGGACCAUCCCACGGCGGUGACGGUACACUUUGGUGCAUGCGAGAGGGAAUAAACAAACUGUGCAGUAAAGGUGUGAAUACCACAG
This is a long non-coding RNA of Eriocheir sinensis (Chinese mitten crab), 781 nucleotides long. RefSeq lists it as uncharacterized. The record is from RefSeq and is a predicted model, not a curated record. NCBI's taxonomy places the organism in Eukaryota, Metazoa, Arthropoda, Malacostraca, Decapoda, Varunidae. The transcript has 5 exons.